Molecule: ribosomal RNA, 250 nt
Filed under: uncultured bacterium
Lineage: Bacteria
Description: partial 16S ribosomal RNA
Rfam family: Bacterial small subunit ribosomal RNA
Source: RNAcentral
GGAUGAAUAUUGGACAAUGGGGGCAACCCUGAUCCAGCCAUGCCGCGUGUGUGAAGAAGGCCUUCGGGUUGUAAAGCACUUUAAGCGGGGAGGAAGGCCUGAUGGCUAAUAUCCAUCGGGAUUGACGUUACCCGCAGAAUAAGCACCGGCAAACUUCGUGCCAGCAGCCGCGGUAAUACGAAGGGUGCGAGCGUUAAUCGGAAUUACUGGGCGUAAAGCGCGCGUAGGUGGUUGAGUAAGCGACAUGUGA